This 251-nucleotide ribosomal RNA is filed under the name uncultured prokaryote. RNAcentral describes it as "partial 16S rRNA". It matches the Rfam family "Bacterial small subunit ribosomal RNA", at positions 525 to 775 of the family's 1533-position model. The record is from RNAcentral.
ACGUAGGAGGCGAACGUUAUCCGGAUUUACUGGGCGUAAAGCGCGUGUAGGUGGUUCUGUAAGUAGGGCGUGAAAGCUCCUGGCUCAACUGGGAGAGGCCGUUCUAAACUACAGAACUAGAGGAUGGUAGAGGGAGGUGGAAUUCCAGGUGUAGCGGUGGAAUGCGUAGAUAUCUGGAGGAACACCGGUGGCGAAGGCGGCUACCUGGACUAUUCCUGACGCUCAGGCGCGAAAGUGAGGGGAGCAAACGG